ACAACCGUCUACCCACUGAUUUGGCUUGUCAAGCAUUUGACGCCAAAGUCGAAUCUCUUCGCCCUUUGAGUGUGUUCUUUAGAGAUCAGAGUAGGAUUUUGCUGAUUUCGAUGAUCCUCAACAGUACAGGGAUCCGAUCGAUUUCGUUUCUCAUCGACCGCUGCGAGAUUUUUCGCUUCGCG
Long non-coding RNA from Varroa destructor (honeybee mite), 182 nucleotides. RefSeq lists it as uncharacterized. NCBI's taxonomy places the organism in Eukaryota, Metazoa, Arthropoda, Arachnida, Mesostigmata, Varroidae. The record is from RefSeq and is a predicted model, not a curated record.